This 498-nucleotide ribosomal RNA is filed under the name uncultured bacterium. Its description in RNAcentral is "partial 16S ribosomal RNA". It matches the Rfam family "Bacterial small subunit ribosomal RNA", at positions 30 to 523 of the family's 1533-position model. The record is from RNAcentral.
AUUGAACGCUGGCGGCAUGCCUUACACAUGCAAGUCGAACGGUAACAGGUCUUCGGAUGCUGACGAGUGGCGAACGGGUGAGUAAUACAUCGGAACGUGCCUAGUAGUGGGGGAUAACUACUCGAAAGAGUGGCUAAUACCGCAUGAGAUCUACGGAUGAAAGCAGGGGAUCGCAAGACCUUGUGCUACUAGAGCGGCCGAUGGCAGAUUAGGUAGUUGGUGGGAUAAAAGCUUACCAAGCCGACGAUCUGUAGCUGGUCUAAGAGGACGAUCAGCCACACUGGGACUGAGAAACGGCCCAGACUCCUACGGGAGGCAGCAGUGGGGAAAUUUGGACAAUGGGCGAAAGCCUGAUCCAGCAAUGCCGCGUGCAGGAUGAAGGCCUUCGGGUUGUAAACUGCUUUUGUACGGAACGAAAAGCCCCGGGUUAAUACCCUGGGGUCAUGACGGUACCGUAAGAAUAAGCACCGGCUAACUACGUGCCAGCAGCCGCCGUAA